Molecule: long non-coding RNA, 406 nt
Filed under: Phasianus colchicus (ring-necked pheasant)
Lineage: Eukaryota; Metazoa; Chordata; Aves; Galliformes; Phasianidae
Description: lncRNA (ENSPCLG00000021048.1)
Source: RNAcentral
GUACAUUAGGAAAAUCUGCAAAUAAAAUGUUACUGGGAAUAGAGAUAGCUUCAAAAAUAAUUAUUUGGUAUAACUGGCUGCCACCUGCACAAAUGACACAUUGAAAAUUGAAGGGGAGUUGGAUAGAAUUGCCAUAUGUGGCAGUGACAAAAGUAAGAUCCUCUAACUAAUGUGAAAGUAGCAUGAAGUCCUAAAAUAUUUCAGAAUUUUUUCGUGUAUUUGUAACAUUUCUGCAUUUCUAUCAUUUCUAUCUGCUCAGUUAUCAUCAGAGUUUAUACAAAUGUUUUUUCACAGCUUCAAAGGAGCCUUUCAGAAAGCAUUGACUACAUCUAACCAGAUGAAGGGAGAAGUGAGAGAACUCUCCACAUUGUUAUGGUUGGUUUCAAUUUUUGGCAACUCAAUCUGA